AAAUAUCCCGACACAAAAAACUUAGCAUGACAGAGGAUUAACACUAGAGGAGUGUUUGAGGCGAAGGCCAUGGAAGAGUUCUUUAACCCAUCAGGGACUUCUCUUUUGGUACCAUCAGUUCAAGAAUUGGUUAAAGAGAGGAUAUCUGAGGUUCCACAAAGAUACGUUCAGCCUCAACAUGAAGACAUGGUGGUCAUAUCUAAAGAAGUUAAUAGUGGCCUUCAGAUUCCAGUUAUUGACAUGCAAAACUUGCUUUCUUUAGAAUCUGGAAGUUCAGAAUUGGAUAAGCUUCACUUCGCUUGCAAAGAAUGGGGAUUCUUCCAGCUAAUAAACCAUGGACUAAGCUUCUCCUUGCUGGAGAAAGUAAAGUUAGAGAUGCAGGAUUUCUUCAACCUUCCAAUGUCAGAGAAGAGAAAGUUAUGGCAAUCUCCACAGCAUAUGGAGGGGUUUGGACAAGCAUUUGUUAUCAGUGCAGACCAAAAGCUUGAUUGGGGUGACCUGUUCUACAUGACAACCCUUCCAACACACUCAAGAAUGCCCCACUUAUUUCCACAGCUCCCUCUUCCUUUCAGAGACACACUAGAGAUUUACUUAUGGAACAUGAAAAAUAUAGCUAUGGUUAUUAUUGCCCAUAUAAGAAAAGCAUUGAGAAUUGAAGAAAUGGAAAUAAUGGAGUUGUUUGAAGAUGGGUUACAGAUGAUGAGGAUGAACUAUUACCCUCCAUGUCCACAACCCGACAAAGUUAUUGGCCUCACAAAUCAUUCAGAUCCGGUUGGACUCACUAUUCUCUUACAAGUCAAUGAUGUAGAAGGGUUACAGAUAAGGAAAGAUGAGGCAUGGGUUCCAAUUAUGCCCAUGCCUAAUGCCUUUGUUGUUAACGUUGGGGACAUCUUGGAGGGGCUUACUCAGUUUACACCAUGGAUGAUCAUCGGAUAGCUCCCGCUUCACGGAUACAACGUAUGCGGUAUUGAGCCCUCAGGCAAAGGUGUUAGUCAGAGGCCGAGUCAGGAGGAGAGUGUGUGACUUAUGGUGUACCCACACUCACUGUUGGUGUCAUCACCACCCUCUCUUCCCCAAGAUUAUGACUAACGGGAUAUAUCGGAGUAUUGAACACCGAGCAACAGUGAACUCUGAAAUGGAAAGACUUUCAAUUGCAACAUUUUACAGCCCAAGACAAGAUGUUUUGAUAGGUCCUUUGCCAAGCUUGAUCACUAAACAAACACCAGCACAAUUCAAAAGCAUAGGAACAAAACAGUACUUUAAGGACUUCUUUGCUCGUAAACUUGAAGGGAAGUCUCACAGAGAUGUCAUGAGAAUAAAGCAUCAAAACUGAAGUAAUUAGAAUUAAGAAAAUUAAAGAUAUUUGCACUAAUUAUAAGUGGUAUAUGUGCACAAUAAAAAAGUUAUGAUAGCAUCAUAAUGUCAUCUAAUGACCUAAAUAAGUUCUUGUGGAAGUGUGCAGCACACGAUUACUCUAAAAUUACUUUAAGAUUGUAGACUAUACAUGCGUUGUUAUUUAGAACAUGUUAAAAACUUGUUGUAUUCCGUAAUGAAAAUUAAUAAAAUUAAGAGCCAACUAGCCUGUUCACAUU
This is an RNA transcript of Abrus precatorius (Indian licorice), 1592 nucleotides long. It is a transcript of the gene named protein SRG1-like, with no coding region annotated. The record is from RefSeq and is a predicted model, not a curated record. The transcript is spliced from 5 exons. Lineage: Eukaryota; Viridiplantae; Streptophyta; Magnoliopsida; Fabales; Fabaceae.